UUAUGUUUGCCGCCGGGUAAACUUUAAAACAUUGAUUUCGUAUCGUUAGGCCAUAGAAGAUGCGAAAGUCAAUGUUUUUUAUUUU
Molecule: non-coding RNA, 85 nt
Filed under: unclassified sequences
Source: RNAcentral